GUCAAGUGAUGAAGAUUAGCACCAGGAGGUCAACUGGAGAAAAACCAGAGUAUCUUAUCAUUGUCUGUAAUCUUGAUAGGUGUGACUGAAACUGCACGCUUGUUGUAAGGCCGGACAUAGAGAAGGGGCCAGGAUUUGUUGACUCUGCAGCAAAAGUAUGUUCCAGGGUAAUUUUCCUGGCAGACAGGGUGGGUGGGGAGGAGUGGGGGUGGGGCAACUUUACCCGUUUGACCAGUGACCAAUGACAUUUUUCUUUAGUAAUCUGAUGGCA
Molecule: small nucleolar RNA, 271 nt
Organism: Ylistrum balloti
Lineage: Eukaryota; Metazoa; Mollusca; Bivalvia; Pectinida; Pectinidae
Source: RefSeq, a predicted model, not a curated record